UUAGACAGCUAGGAUGUUGGCUUAGAAGCAGCCAUCAUUUAAAGAAAGCGUAAUAGCUCACUAGUCGAGUCGGCCUGCGCGGAAGAUGUAACGGGGCUGAAAUAUAGCACCGAAGCUGCGGCAUCAGGCGUAUCACUAAUACGCCUUACGAUUAACAAGCUAGAAUGGCGCGAAGCGUCAUGAAAGGUUGUUCAAGCAACCCGAACGUUGAGUCGGGCAUCUUAGAGUAAGGAUGAUUAGUGAUACGCCUGUUGGGUAGGGGAGCGUUGUGUAAGCGGAAGAAGGUUCAUCGAGAGGUGGGCUGGACGUAUCACAAGUGCGAAUGCUGACAUAAGUAACGAUAAAACGGGUGAAAAACCCGUUCGCCGGAAGACCAAGGGUUCCUGUCCAACGUUAAUCGGGGCAGGGUGAGUCGGCUCCUAAGGCGAGGCUGAAAAGCGUAGUCGAUGGGAAACAGGUUAAUAUUCCUGUACUUGGUAAAGCUGCGAUGUGGGGACGGAGUAGGUUAGGUUAUCGCACUGUUGGAUAUGUGCGUUUAAGUUGGUAGGUGGGAAGUUUAGGCAAAUCCGGACUUCCUUAACACAGAGAGAUGAUGACGAGGCUCUACGGAGCUGAAGUAACUGAUACCACACUUCCAGGAAAAGCCACUAAGCGAAAGGCUUUACUAAACCGUACUGAAAACCGACACAGGUGGUCAGGUAGAGAAUACUCAGGCGCUUGAGAGAACUCGGGUGAAGGAACUAGGCAAAAUAGCACCGUAACUUCGGGAGAAGGUGCGCCGGC
RNAcentral lists this ribosomal RNA (783 nucleotides) under Haemophilus influenzae. Its description in RNAcentral is "bacterial LSU rRNA". It matches the Rfam family "Bacterial large subunit ribosomal RNA", at positions 1085 to 1755 of the family's 2925-position model. The record is from RNAcentral. Lineage: Bacteria; Pseudomonadati; Pseudomonadota; Gammaproteobacteria; Pasteurellales; Pasteurellaceae.